GGGGGCGGGAAGGAGUCACCAGUGUGGUCUGAGGCUGGGCUGCAGGAGGCAGCGCGUUCAAUCUCCCAGCCCCAGUGGCAGUGGGAAGGGGGGUGGGGGUGAAGGGAAGGACGUGGGAGGACACAAUCGCUGUCACCGCAGCUGAGGGGGAGGGGGGUACAAAGCCCCAGGAACACGGAAUUCCCGUGGGCUGGGGUGGUUGUUUUUUCUACGGGAGAGGGCAGUGACUGUGCCUCCCAAAGGACAGUAUGAGGAGCUGACCUUUCCAUUUCAGACCCUGGGCACCUCGCUCUCUCGCGCUCCGAAGGGCCCCGAGUCCGCUUUCUCGGGGGCGGAGGAGCCGCAGCGCGCUGGCAGCGAGCCAGGGCGCAGCCGGGCGCGUGAAACAGCAGGACAUGAAGGCAGAGUGGGAAGUGGACAAAAGCUCACUGGAAGGAGGCCAUCUCUUACACUUCGCAGACUGCCACAGUUGCAAAGGAACAUUCUCCAUGGAGCCUUCCUAUAUAAUUUAGGUGGUGACCUGAGAAGGAAAAUAGAGGCUAGAGGAAUACGGAUGUGAGAUAGAUAAGGCAGUCAGAGCAAGAAACGCAGGACUAAAGACUCAAAGACCACAAGUUAAAACACAUGGGGAGUUGUGAGCUCCUCUGUUGAUACCUCUCUGGAAGAAGAUAACGAGUGGAGAAAUUAGAAGUAUGAGAAACAAGAGAACCUGCAUGGAGCAGAAGACUCCAGGAUAUCCCCCAUAGACCAGGUGGUCAAGAGAUUAAUGGGAGAUGUGCGGGGCAGCUGUGCUGUGUAAGUCAGUCAAACAUGAGGCAAGACCAAGAUCAAGAUUGUAAGAUGCAAGGGAGAGAGUAAGGACUGUGAGAUCAAGAGGUGUGAGAGAGGAGAGGAGAAGAAGCUCACACAUGUUCCCUAGCUUUUACUGGGGUCCUUAGGAAUGUCAAGUUAGAGGUGAUUAAUGAAUAUAUGACAUGAUAUAGGUUUUGACAUUGGUUGAAUUGACAAUGAUGGAAUCAAAUAGGAGAUUAAUCCAACCCGGGCUUUGUAAGGGAAUGUAGUCCGAGCCAGGACACUGUGGCUGUCAAUGCCCAGCAGAGGAAUUUGCUUGUCCUUUGCACUAGUCCUUUGGAUUGUCCCUUUCCAUACAAUGAACAUUAAGUGAUCUGACCAUGUGUCUGGUAAAUGAAUAUACAGGAUACAAUAUCAAUGCAUCAAUCAUACUUCCAAGAUGCCAAGAUGCCUAGUAUGCUACACUUCCCCAUUUACUUUGGUCUCUAGUGAUUCUCCCCUUCCUCAUAAUCCAGAGUAUUUGUCACUGAUAAUCAUUAAGGGAUGUGAUCACUUUCUAUAUCUUGGUGCUCUCUAAUUAUUUCAUACAUGUAAGUCUUGCUUUCACUGUUAGUUUGUCCCUUAGGGUCAUAGACCUCAUCUUACAUUUCUUUGUUUCCCUCCACUCCAUAAUAAUUGCUCAGUUGUUUCAAUAAAUUUAUUCAUCUAAUAGGGACA
This 1509-nucleotide long non-coding RNA is filed under the name Monodelphis domestica (gray short-tailed opossum). RNAcentral's name for it is "lncRNA (ENSMODG00000044805.1)". The record is from RNAcentral. Lineage: Eukaryota; Metazoa; Chordata; Mammalia; Didelphimorphia; Didelphidae.